UCGAUUCUGCCCUUCUGGGCACCCACACCUGUGAACUGUGCUGUUUCUUGGGCGUGCCUCGGCCGCCCAGCAGUCUAACCACUGAAUCUUGGCUGAGAUUGAAGUUUAAAUAGUAA
This 116-nucleotide unclassified non-coding RNA is filed under the name soil metagenome. RNAcentral describes it as "partial internal transcribed spacer 1". The record is from RNAcentral.